CCUACGGGUGGCAGCAGUGAGGAAUAUUGGUCAAUGGACGCAAGUCUGAACCAGCCAUGCCGCGUGCAGGAAGACGGCUCUAUGAGUUGUAAACUGCUUUUGUACGAGGGUAAACGCAGAUACGCGUAUCUGUCUGAAAGUAUCGUACGAAUAAGGAUCGGCUAACUCCGUGCCAGCAGCCGCGGUAAUACGGAGGAUUCAAGCGUUAUCCGGAUUUAUUGGGUUUAAAGGGUGCGUAGGCGGUCGGAUAAGUUAGAGGUGAAAGCCCGAGGCUCAACUUCGGAAGUGCCUCGGAUACUGUUCGGCGAGAGAGUAGAUGCGGUAGGCGGAAUGUAAUGUGUAGCGGUGAAAUGCUUAGAGAUCAUACAGAACACCGGUUGCGAAGGCAGCUUACCAAGCUACUUCUGACGUUGUGGCACGAAAGCGUGGGGAGCAAACAGGAUUAGAUACCCCUGUAGUC
This 460-nucleotide ribosomal RNA is filed under the name uncultured bacterium. RNAcentral's name for it is "partial 16S ribosomal RNA". It matches the Rfam family "Bacterial small subunit ribosomal RNA", at positions 338 to 795 of the family's 1533-position model. The record is from RNAcentral.